Molecule: non-coding RNA, 545 nt
Organism: Phoenix dactylifera (date palm)
Lineage: Eukaryota; Viridiplantae; Streptophyta; Magnoliopsida; Arecales; Arecaceae
Source: RefSeq, a predicted model, not a curated record
UUUUUUUCCCCAGAGUUAGGCUUCAUCCUGCUGAUUUCUCAUAGGCUAUUAGUCAUGGAGUAUAAUGGUGUCAAGGCGAUCUUCGCAGUAGCUACCAUUCUAGUCCUGCUUGUUGGACAAAGCUCGGCAUCACAAUGCUUCGACCAAUGCUUUAACGAAUGCAUUUUCUUUCGAAACCCAUUCCCGUUUUGCGUAGAAAAGUGCCAUCAAAAAUGUGAUGGUCAGCAUUCUGCAGCUAAGUCUGAUUCCGGUUGUAUCUCUGCGUGUGCCAAGUCCUCCUGUAGCCAACUUGAUCCAGAGGGAAAUGAUAUGGGGGCCUGCUUGUCUACAUGCUCAAAGAGCUGCACCAAAGCGAGGAAGUCUCUCUGAUGGAGGCCUGCAUCAAUCUAGGACAGAUGAUAAGAAUAAGCUCUUGACUUGCUAUAAAGGGAGAACAUUUGGACAGAGAUAAAUAAUGACAAGCUUUGGCUAACUUGUAAUAGAAUAAGAAUGUCCUAGUUUCAAUGAUGUAUGGUAGAAUUUAUGGGAACUAAAUAAAAUGUUAA